UUAAGCGACUAAGCGUACACGGUGGAUGCCCUGGCAGUCAGAGGCGAUGAAGGACGUGCUAAUCUGCGAAAAGCGUCGGUAAGGUGAUAUGAACCGUUAUAACCGGCGAUGUCCGAAUGGGGAAACCCAGUGCAAUUCGUUGCACUAUCGUUAACUGAAUACAUAGGUUAACGAGGCGAACCGGGGGAACUGAAACAUCUAAGUACCCCGAGGAAAAGAAAUCAACCGAGAUUCCCCCAGUAGCGGCGAGCGAACGGGGAGCAGCCCAGAGUCUGAAUCAGCUUGUGUGUUAGUGGAACGGUCUGGAAAGUCCGACGGUACAGGGUGAUAGUCCCGUACACCAAAAUGCACAGGUUGUGAACUCGAAGAGUAGGGCGGGACACGUGGUAUCCUGUCUGAAUAUGGGGGGACCAUCCUCCAAGGCUAAAUACUCCUGACUGACCGAUAGUGAACCAGUACCGUGAGGGAAAGGCGAAAAGAACCCCGGCGAGGGGAGUGAAAAAGAACCUGAAACCGUGUACGUACAAGCAGUGGGAGCACCUUCGGGUGUGACUGCGUACCUUUUGUAUAAUGGGUCAGCGACUUAUAUUCUGUAGCAAGGUUAACCGUAUAGGGGAGCCGCAGGGAAACCGAGUCUUAACUGGGCGUUAAGUUGCAGGGUAUAGACCCGAAACCCGGUGAUCUAGCCAUGGGCAGGUUGAAGGUUGGGUAACACUAACUGGAGGACCGAACCGACUAAUGUUGAAAAAUUAGCGGAUGACUUGUGGCUGGGGGUGAAAGGCCAAUCAAACCGGGAGAUAGCUGGUUCUCCCCGAAAGCUAUUUAGGUAGCGCCUCGUGAACUCAUCUUCGGGGUAGAGCACUGUUUCGGCUAGGGGGUCAUCCCGACUUACCAACCCGAUGCAAACUACGAAUACCGAAGAAUGUUAUCACGGGAGACACACGGCGGGUGCUAACGUCCGUCGUGAAGAGGGAAACAACCCAGACCGCCAGCUAAGGUCCCAAAGUCAUGGUUAAGUGGGAAACGAUGUGGGAAGGCACAGACAGCCAGGAUGUUGGCUUAGAAGCAGCCAUCAUUUAAAGAAAGCGUAAUAGCUCACUGGUCGAGUCGGCCUGCGCGGAAGAUGUAACGGGGCUAAACCAUGCACCGAAGCUGCGGCAGCGACACUAUGUGUUGUUGGGUAGGGGAGCGUUCUGUAAGCCUGCGAAGGUGUGCUGUGAGGCAUGCUGGAGGUAUCAGAAGUGCGAAUGCUGACAUAAGUAACGAUAAAGCGGGUGAAAAGCCCGCUCGCCGGAAGACCAAGGGUUCCUGUCCAACGUUAAUCGGGGCAGGGUGAGUCGACCCCUAAGGCGAGGCCGAAAGGCGUAGUCGAUGGGAAACAGGUUAAUAUUCCUGUACUUGGUGUUACUGCGAAGGGGGGACGGAGAAGGCUAUGUUAGCCGGGCGACGGUUGUCCCGGUUUAAGCAUGUAGGCUGGUUAUCCAGGCAAAUCCGGAUAAUCAAGGCUGAGGUGUGAUGACGAGGCACUACGGUGCUGAAGUAACAAAUGCCCUGCUUCCAGGAAAAGCCUCUAAGCAUCAGGUAACAUCAAAUCGUACCCCAAACCGACACAGGUGGUCAGGUAGAGAAUACCAAGGCGCUUGAGAGAACUCGGGUGAAGGAACUAGGCAAAAUGGUGCCGUAACUUCGGGAGAAGGCACGCUGGUGUGUAGGUGAAGCCCCUGCGGGUGGAGCUGAGACCAGUCGAAGAUACCAGCUGGCUGCAACUGUUUAUUAAAAACACAGCACUGUGCAAACACGAAAGUGGACGUAUACGGUGUGACGCCUGCCCGGUGCCGGAAGGUUAAUUGAUGGGGUUAUCCGUAAGGAGAAGCUCUUGAUCGAAGCCCCGGUAAACGGCGGCCGUAACUAUAACGGUCCUAAGGUAGCGAAAUUCCUUGUCGGGUAAGUUCCGACCUGCACGAAUGGCGUAAUGAUGGCCAGGCUGUCUCCACCCGAGACUCAGUGAAAUUGAACUCGCUGUGAAGAUGCAGUGUACCCGCGGCAAGACGGAAAGACCCCGUGAACCUUUACUAUAGCUUGACACUGAACAUUGAGCCUUGAUGUGUAGGAUAGGUGGGAGGCUUUGAAGCGUGGACGCCAGUCUGCGUGGAGCCAACCUUGAAAUACCACCCUUUAAUGUUUGAUGUUCUAACGUUGGCCCCUUAUCGGGGUUGCGGACAGUGUCUGGUGGGUAGUUUGACUGGGGCGGUCUCCUCCCAAAGCGUAACGGAGGAGCACGAAGGUUAGCUAAUCCUGGUCGGACAUCAGGAGGUUAGUGCAAUGGCAUAAGCUAGCUUGACUGCGAGCGUGACGGCGCGAGCAGGUGCGAAAGCAGGUCAUAGUGAUCCGGUGGUUCUGAAUGGAAGGGCCAUCGCUCAACGGAUAAAAGGUACUCCGGGGAUAACAGGCUGAUACCGCCCAAGAGUUCAUAUCGACGGCGGUGUUUGGCACCUCGAUGUCGGCUCAUCACAUCCUGGGGCUGAAGUAGGUCCCAAGGGUAUGGCUGUUCGCCAUUUAAAGUGGUACGCGAGCUGGGUUUAGAACGUCGUGAGACAGUUCGGUCCCUAUCUGCCGUGGGCGCUGGAGAAUUGAGGGGGGCUGCUCCUAGUACGAGAGGACCGGAGUGGACGCAUCACUGGUGUUCGGGUUGUCAUGCCAAUGGCACUGCCCGGUAGCUAAAUGCGGAAGAGAUAAGUGCUGAAAGCAUCUAAGCACGAAACUUGCCCCGAGAUGAGUUCUCCCUGAGACUAUAAGUCUCCUGAAGGAACGUUAAAGACGAUGACGUUGAUAGGCCGGGUGUGUAAGCGCAGCGAUGCGUUGAGCUAACCGGUACUAAUGAACCGUGAGGCUUAACCUU
This 2899-nucleotide ribosomal RNA is filed under the name Klebsiella pneumoniae. Its description in RNAcentral is "23S ribosomal RNA". It matches the Rfam family "Bacterial large subunit ribosomal RNA". The record is from RNAcentral. Lineage: Bacteria; Pseudomonadati; Pseudomonadota; Gammaproteobacteria; Enterobacterales; Enterobacteriaceae.